CAGGUGCUCUGCAAACCCCUAUCACUGUCCUGAGGGGCGGCUGUGCACACAUGUGGCCCUUUUAGAACCCUAAAUCAUUGGCACUGAAGGGAAGUCAUGGAACUCUUGAGGCAGUGACAUGGCUCAGCGGACAGAGCUCCAGGCCUGAAGAUAGGAGGUCCUGGGUUUGAGCUUGAAGUCAGACACCUCCUAACUGGGUGAUCCUGGACAAGUCACUUAACCUCUCGCCCUUCUGCCUUAGGGUUAUUUCUAAGAAAGAAAGUAAAGGUUUGGGGGGAAAAGUUAUACCAUGUAACCUUGUUUUGCAGCUGGGGAAACCGAGGCCCAGAGAUGGGGAGUGACGCACUUGAGGGUGUAAGUCCUGUGACACUGAGAUCAGUGCAGGAUGGCUGAGCCCCAGGACAGAGCUGUGCAGCAAGAAGGGCUGUGGGCAGUCGAGGAAAGACCACUGGACUGGACAUCUCUGGCCCUGGGUCCGUGCCCAGAUGGUGGACGCUCGCCAUCUGUCCUCAGGCCUCAGCAAGUUCUUUCUCAGGAUGUGGAUACAUUCUUUCUCCUGAGUCCUUCGGGAUUGUCCUGGAUCACUGCAGUGCUGCUAGUAGUAAAGUCAAUUACAUUUGAUUGUGCCACAAUGUAUCAGUCUCUGUGUACAAUGUUCUCCUGGUUCUGUUUAUUUCAAUCUGCAUCAGUUCAUGGAGGUUCGUCCAGUUCAUGUAGAAAUCCUUCAGUUCAUUGUUCCUUACAGCACAAUAG
This 753-nucleotide long non-coding RNA is filed under the name Monodelphis domestica (gray short-tailed opossum). RNAcentral describes it as "lncRNA (ENSMODG00000041841.1)". The record is from RNAcentral. Lineage: Eukaryota; Metazoa; Chordata; Mammalia; Didelphimorphia; Didelphidae.